GUAGGUGGCAAGCGUUGUCCGGAAUUAUUGGGCGUAAAGCGCGCGCAGGCGGUCCUUUAAGUCUGAUGUGAAAGCCCACGGCUCAACCGUGGAGGGUCAUUGGAAACUGGGGGACUUGAGUACAGAAGAGGAAAGCGGAAUUCCAAGUGUAGCGGUGAAAUGCGUAGAGAUUUGGAGGAACACCAGUGGCGAAGGCGGCUUUCUGGUCUGUAACUGACGCUGAGGCGCGAAAGCGUGGGGAGCAAACAGAAUUAGAUACCCUGGUAGUCCACGCCGUAAACGAUGAGUGCUAAGUGUUAGGGGGGUUUCCCGCCCCCCUUAGUGCUGCAGCUAACGCAUUAAGCACUCCGCCUGGGGAGUACGGCCGCAAGGCUG
Molecule: ribosomal RNA, 375 nt
Filed under: uncultured organism
Description: partial 16S ribosomal RNA
Rfam family: Bacterial small subunit ribosomal RNA
Source: RNAcentral